GAUGAACGCUGGCGGCGUGCCUAAUACAUGCAAGUCGAGCGAACAGACGAGGAGCUUGCUCCUCUGACGUUAGCGGCGGACGGGUGAGUAACACGUGGAUAACCUACCUAUAAGACCGGGAUAACUUCGGGAAACCGGAGCUAAUACCGGAUAACAUGUUGAACCGCAUGGUUCAACAGUGAAAGACGGUCUUGCUGUCACUUAUAGAUGGAUCCGCGCCGCAUUAGCUAGUUGGUAAGGUAACGGCUUACCAAGGCAACGAUGCGUAGCCGACCUGAGAGGGUGAUCGGCCACACUGGAACUGAGACACGGUCCAGACUCCUACGGGAGGCAGCAGUAGGGAAUCUUCCGCAAUGGGCGAAAGCCUGACGGAGCAACGCCGCGUGAGUGAAGAAGGUCUUCGGAUCGUAAAACUCUGUUAUUAGGGAAGAACAAAUGUGUAAGUAACUAUGCACGUCUUGACGGUACCUAAUCAGAAAGCCACGGCUAACUACGUG
Molecule: ribosomal RNA, 497 nt
Filed under: uncultured bacterium
Lineage: Bacteria
Description: partial 16S ribosomal RNA
Rfam family: Bacterial small subunit ribosomal RNA
Source: RNAcentral